AGCCUCAGUAGUGGUUUACACGUCAAAAUGCAAGUUUGAAGAUGAGCCCUAAAGGGCUCCGGGGCUU
RNAcentral lists this transfer RNA (67 nucleotides) under Anolis pulchellus. RNAcentral's name for it is "tRNA-Cys". Lineage: Eukaryota; Metazoa; Chordata; Lepidosauria; Squamata; Anolidae. The record is from RNAcentral.